AUUCAAAUAGCUUAUAGUAAGAGCAUAACACUGAAGAUGUUAGGGAGAUUUUCGAAUCUUUGAAUA
Molecule: transfer RNA, 66 nt
Filed under: Bittacus pilicornis
Lineage: Eukaryota; Metazoa; Arthropoda; Insecta; Mecoptera; Bittacidae
Description: tRNA-Phe
Rfam family: tRNA
About the family: Transfer RNA (tRNA) molecules are approximately 80 nucleotides in length. Their secondary structure includes four short double-helical elements and three loops (D, anti-codon, and T loops).
Source: RNAcentral